UGUGACUCGUCAGGUGUCAUCUCCUCUGU
RNAcentral lists this non-coding RNA (29 nucleotides) under Mus musculus (house mouse). Lineage: Eukaryota; Metazoa; Chordata; Mammalia; Rodentia; Muridae. The record is from RNAcentral.